UUGAACGCUGGCGGCAUGCUUUACACAUGCAAGUCGAACGGUAACAGGCCUUCGGGUGCUGACGAGUGGCGAACGGGUGAGUAAUGCAUCGGAACGUGCCCAAUCGUGGGGGAUAACGUAGCGAAAGUUACGCUAAUACCGCAUACGCCCUGAGGGGGAAAGCAGGGGAUCUUCGGACCUUGUGCGAAUGGAGCGGCCGAUGUCGGAUUAGCUAGUUGGUGAGGUAAAGGCUCACCAAGGCGACGAUCCGUAGCUGGUCUGAGAGGACGACCAGCCACACUGGAACUGAGACACGGUCCAGACUCCUACGGGAGGCAGCAGUGGGGAAUUUUGGACAAUGGGGGAAACCCUGAUCCAGCCAUUCCGCGUGAGUGAAGAAGGCCUUCGGGUUGUAAAGCUCUUUCGGCAGGAACGAAACGGUAAGGGCUAAUAUCCUUUGCUAAUGACGGUACCUGAAGAAGAAGCACCGGCUAACUACGU
This 480-nucleotide ribosomal RNA is filed under the name uncultured bacterium. RNAcentral's name for it is "bacterial SSU rRNA". It matches the Rfam family "Bacterial small subunit ribosomal RNA", at positions 30 to 506 of the family's 1533-position model. The record is from RNAcentral.